Molecule: non-coding RNA, 255 nt
Organism: Pelobates cultripes (western spadefoot toad)
Lineage: Eukaryota; Metazoa; Chordata; Amphibia; Anura; Pelobatidae
Source: the annotation of a GenBank genome assembly
CUCACCUUUACCUUCCUGAAAAAUCACAAAAAUGCCUAAACACAUAAUAUAACAUAUUAUUUCAGAAGUCCUCAUUUCUACUCUUCGACCGUGCGACGGCACCUCAGCUUCCCGAUUGUGAGGGCUGCAAGAAUUGUCGUUCUUCUGAUCCUCACUUUUCUUCACAGAGGUCCCUUUGAGACACUCUGGCUAUGACAUGUAGGCAGGUGGUCAGGCUUUAUUAUGGCCGUCAAAACACCUACUUGCUGAUAUCUG